CAUUAUACCGCGAAACUGCGAAUGGCUCAUUAAAUCAGUUAUCGUUUAUUUGAUAGUGCCUGUCCUACUUGGAUAACCGUGGUAAUUCUAGAGCUAAUACAUGCUAAAAAUCCCGACUUCGGAAGGGAUGCAUUUAUUGGAUACAGAACCAACGCCCUUCGGGGCUUCCUGGUGAAUCACAAUAACUCCGCGGAUCGCACGGCCUUGCGCCGGCGAUGGUUCAUUCAAAUUUCUGCCCUAUCAACUUUCGACGGCUGGGUCUUGGCCAGCCGUGGUGACAACGGGUAACGGAGGGUUAGGGCUUGACCCCGGAGAAGGAGCCUGAGAGACGGCUACUACAUCCAAGGAAGGCAGCAGGCGCGCAAAUUACCCAAUCCCGACUCGGGGAGGUAGUGACAAUAAAUACUGAUCCAGGGCUCUUUUGGGUCUUGGAAUUGGAAUGAGUACAAUUUAAAUCCCUUAACGAGGAACAAUUGGAGGGCAAGUCUGGUGCCAGCAGCCGCGGUAAUUCCAGCUCCAAUAGCGUAUAUUAAAGUUGUUGAGGUUAAAAAGCUCGUAGUUGAACCUUGGCCCUGGCUGGCCGGUCCGCCUCACCGCGAGCACUGGUCCGGCCGGGGCUUUCCCUCUGGGGACCCUCAUGCCCUUCACUGGGUGUGUUGGAGAACCAGGACUUUUACUGUGAACAAAUCAGAUCGCUCAAAGAAGGCUCUCGCUCGAAUGCUUCAGCAUGGAAUAAUAAAAUAGGACGUGCGGUUCUAUUUUGUUGGUUUCUAGGACCGCCGUAAUGAUUAAUAGGGACAGUCGGGGGUGUCAGUAUUCAAUCGUCAGAGGUGAAAUUCUUGGAUCGAUUGAAGACUAACUACUGCGAAAGCAUUCACCAAGGAUGUUUUCAUUAAUCAGGAACGAAAGUUAGGGGAUCGAAGACGAUCAGAUACCGUCGUAGUCUUAACCAUAAACUAUGCCGAUUAGGGAUCGGACGAUGUUAUUUUUUGACUCGUUCGGCACCUUACGAUAAAUCAAAAUGUU
RNAcentral lists this ribosomal RNA (1026 nucleotides) under Dinemasporium sp. RNAcentral's name for it is "SSU rRNA". It matches the Rfam family "Eukaryotic small subunit ribosomal RNA", at positions 72 to 1107 of the family's 1831-position model. The record is from RNAcentral. Lineage: Eukaryota; Fungi; Ascomycota; Sordariomycetes; Chaetosphaeriales; Chaetosphaeriaceae.